AUCUCCUACGGGAGGCAGCAGUGAGGAAUAUUGGUCAAUGGGCGCGAGCCUGAACCAGCCAAGUCGCGUGAGGGAAGACGGUCCUAUGGAUUGUAAACCUCUUUUGCCGGGGAGCAAGCUGAGUCACGUGUGGCUCAGCUGAGAGUACCCGGAGAAAAAGCAUCGGCUAACUCCGUGCCAGCAGCCGCGGUAAUACGGAGGAUGCGAGCGUUAUCCGGAUUUAUUGGGUUUAAAGGGUGCGUAGGCGGACUGUCAAGUCAGCGGUAAAAUUGAGAGGCUCAACCUCUUCGAGCCGUUGAAACUGG
Molecule: ribosomal RNA, 305 nt
Filed under: uncultured bacterium
Lineage: Bacteria
Description: bacterial SSU rRNA
Rfam family: Bacterial small subunit ribosomal RNA
Source: RNAcentral